CCGCGUGAAGGCNGACUGCCCUAUGGGUUGUAAACUUCUUUUGUAUAGGGGAUAAACCUACCCUCGUGAGGGUAGCUGAAGGUACUAUACGAAUAAGCACCGGCUAACUCCGUGCCAGCAGCCGCGGUAAUACGGAGGGUGCAAGCGUUAUCCGGAUUUAUUGGGUUUAAAGGGUCCGUAGGCGGACUUAUAAGUCAGUGGUGAAAGCCUGUCGCUUAACGAUAGAACUGCCAUUGAUACUGUAAGUCUUGAGUAUAUUUGAGGUAGCUGGAAUAAGUAGUGUAGCGGUGAAAUGCAUAGAUAUUACUUAGAACACCAAUUGCGAAGGCAGGUUACCAAGAUAUAACUGACGCUGAGGGGACGAAAGCGUGGGGACCGAACAGGAUUAGAUACCCUGGUANUCCACGCCGUAAACGAUGCUACUCNUUUUUGG
This 433-nucleotide ribosomal RNA is filed under the name uncultured bacterium. RNAcentral's name for it is "bacterial SSU rRNA". It matches the Rfam family "Bacterial small subunit ribosomal RNA", at positions 397 to 825 of the family's 1533-position model. The record is from RNAcentral.